UCAUAGCUUGCUAUGAUAACAAUUAGUGGCAGACGGGUGAGUAAUGCAUAGGAAUCUACCUAGUAGUAUGGGAUAGCCACUAGAAAUGGUGGGUAAUACUGUAUAAUCCCUGCGGGGGAAAGAUUUAUCGCUAUUAGAUGAGCCUAUGUUAGAUUAGCUAGUUGGUAGGGUAAAGGCCUACCAAGGCAGUGAUCUAUAGCUGGUCUGAGAGGAUGAUCAGCCACACUGGAACUGAGAUACGGUCCAGACUCCUACGGGAGGCAGCAGUGGGGAAUAUUGGACAAUGGGCGCAAGCCUGAUCCAGCUAUGCCGCGUGAGUGAGGA
RNAcentral lists this ribosomal RNA (324 nucleotides) under Candidatus Anaplasma camelii. RNAcentral describes it as "bacterial SSU rRNA". It matches the Rfam family "Bacterial small subunit ribosomal RNA", at positions 73 to 411 of the family's 1533-position model. The record is from RNAcentral. Lineage: Bacteria; Pseudomonadati; Pseudomonadota; Alphaproteobacteria; Rickettsiales; Anaplasmataceae.